CGAGGAAAGAACCACCAGGGAUUGCCCUAGUAACGGCGAGUGAAGCGGCAACAGCUCAAAUUUGAAAUCUGGCUCUCUUUGGGGGUCCGAGUUGUAAUUUGCAGAGGAUGCUUUGGCAUUGGCGGCGGUCUAAGUUCCUUGGAACAGGACAUCACAGAGGGUGAGAAUCCCGUACGUGGUCGCCUGCCUUUGCCGUGUAAAGCUCCUUCGACGAGUCGAGUUGUUUGGGAAUGCAGCUCUAAAUGGGAGGUAAAUUUCUUCUAAAGCUAAAUACUGGCCAGAGACCGAUAGCGCACAAGUAGAGUGAUCGAAAGAUGAAAAGUACUUUGGAAAGAGAGUCAAAAAGCACGUGAAAUUGUUGAAAGGGAAGCGCUUGCAGCCAGACUUGCCCGCAGUUGCUCACCCAGGCUUUGGCCCGGGGCACUCUUCUGCGGGCAGGCCAGCAUCAGUUUGGGCGGUUGGAUAAAGGCCUCUGUCACGUAUCUCCCUUCGGGGUGACCUUAUAGGGGAGGCGCAAUGCAACCAGCCCGGACUGAGGUCCGCGCAUCUGCUAGGAUGCUGGCGUAAUGGCUGUAAGCGGCCCGUCUUGAAACACGGACCAAGGAGUCUAACAUCUAUGCGAGUGUUUGGGUGUCAAGCCCGAGCGCGCAAUGAAAGUGAACGGAGGUGGGAACCCUUUUGGGUGCACCAUCGACCGAUCCUGAUGUCUUCGGAUGGAUUUGAGUAAGAGCAUAGCUGUUGGGACCCGAAAGAUGGUGAACUAUGCUUGAAUAGGGUGAAGCCAGAGGAAACUCUGGUGGAGGCUCGCAGCGGUUCUGACGUGCAAAUCGAUCGUCAAAUUUGGGCAUAGGGGCGAAAGACAAUCGAA
This 868-nucleotide ribosomal RNA is filed under the name Karstenula lancangensis. RNAcentral's name for it is "Karstenula sp. CGR-2022c partial large subunit ribosomal RNA". It matches the Rfam family "Eukaryotic large subunit ribosomal RNA", at positions 52 to 939 of the family's 3401-position model. The record is from RNAcentral. Lineage: Eukaryota; Fungi; Ascomycota; Dothideomycetes; Pleosporales; Didymosphaeriaceae.